GGUCUUGGACGAUGGUCUGCCAUUAACUUGGUAUGUACCUAAUUGUCUGAGUCCAUCCUCGAGGAGUGCAUGUCUGUCAUUUAGUUGAUGGGCAUGGGUUCCUCGUCAUUUACUGUGAGCAAAAUAGGGUGUUCAAAGCAGGCUUAUGCCGUUGAAUACAUUAGCAUGGAAUAAUAAGAUAGGACCUUGGUCUAUUUUGUUGGUUUGUACUCCAAGGUA
This 219-nucleotide ribosomal RNA is filed under the name uncultured fungus. RNAcentral's name for it is "partial small subunit ribosomal RNA". It matches the Rfam family "Eukaryotic small subunit ribosomal RNA", at positions 643 to 864 of the family's 1831-position model. The record is from RNAcentral. Lineage: Eukaryota; Fungi.